GUGCUCCCUUCAGCAGCACAUAUACUAAAAUUGGAACGAUACAGAGAAGAUUAGCAUCGCCCAUGUGCAAGGAUGACACAUGAUUUCAUGAAGCGUUCCAUAUUUUU
This 107-nucleotide small nuclear RNA is filed under the name Prolemur simus (greater bamboo lemur). Lineage: Eukaryota; Metazoa; Chordata; Mammalia; Primates; Lemuridae. The record is from RNAcentral.